GUGCAAACUUCAGCAGCAUAAGUACUAAAACUGGAAUGACAGAGAGAAGGUUAGCAUGGCCCUUGUACAAGGAUGACUUGCAAAUUCAUGACAUGUUCCAUAUUUUU
RNAcentral lists this small nuclear RNA (107 nucleotides) under Procavia capensis (Cape rock hyrax). The record is from RNAcentral. Lineage: Eukaryota; Metazoa; Chordata; Mammalia; Hyracoidea; Procaviidae.